This is a long non-coding RNA of Anneissia japonica, 950 nucleotides long. RefSeq lists it as uncharacterized. The record is from RefSeq and is a predicted model, not a curated record. The transcript is spliced from 3 exons. Lineage: Eukaryota; Metazoa; Echinodermata; Crinoidea; Comatulida; Comatulidae.
AACAAACAAUCAAAGAAAAAGAGCCUACCAAGGGUUAUGUAGUUGAUCCGGAUGAGUUACCAUGGUGUUGCAUAUGUAAUGAGGAUGCGGUACUUCGCUGUCUAGGAUGCGAAGGUGACUUGUAUUGCAAGAGAUGCUUUAAGGAAGGCCAUGAUGAUUUUGGAGAAACUCACGAGACUGAGCAAUACAAGAAACCAAAAAACAGGGACAAGUGAUGGAGAAUAUUCAGGCAAUUUAAAGCAGUGCUUCUUUCCUUGUUCAGUGCUAAAACCAAAUGAUUAUUUUGCAUAUUUCUUUUACUCACUGGGCGAGACUUUUCUUUAUAUUUUUUUCGCAAACUUUUUUUUUAAAUAUUGUCAGAGGGGUGGGGGGGCGGAAAAUCGAAAUCGAUAUCAUCAUUAUUAGCAAGCGGGGUGUUCGCUAAACAAUGUAUAAAAAAAAUUCUUGCCCAAACAACUAUAUAAUGUUGAAAUUGAUUCAUUUUUUUAUAAGAUAGUGUUCAAUUUAUAAAAAUAAAUGUGAUUAUAGAGAAAAAAAAAUAUACGAAGUCAAAAUAUUUAUAAUUGUUAUAUUUAGUAUUUUUAGAUAUUUAUAUAUUUUAAUGAUCAAGGUUUUAAAAUAGUGAAAUUGAAAGACAUUACUCCUGGACUGGGGGUCGCCACAACAACAAAUCUUGUUUAAUGCAUUGUUUUUUCAAAGUAUAAAUUGUGUGUAUAUGGUUAAGCCAUGAAUGCCAUCGAUUAUACAAGUGCGAUGUAUUAGUUACACUAUUAUUUACAUGGUAACAACACAUAGGGACAUAAAUCUGGCAAUAUAUAGCAACAAAUCUUUUGUUAUAGUUACACUCAGAAUUCAGAAAAUAUGAAGAGUACAUUGCUUUUUCCUUUUUAUAGAGAUUAAAAAGAAGUCUAGCUUCAAAAGGCUGACGAAUUUUUAUUCUCCAUCGACAA